Molecule: ribosomal RNA, 547 nt
Filed under: uncultured bacterium
Lineage: Bacteria
Description: partial 16S ribosomal RNA
Rfam family: Bacterial small subunit ribosomal RNA
Source: RNAcentral
UAGGGAAUCUUCCACAAUGGACGCAAGUCUGAUGGAGCAACGCCGCGUGAGUGAAGAAGGUUUUCGGACCGUAAAGCUCUGUUGUUGGUGAAGAAGGAUAGAGGUAGUAACUGGCCUUUAUUUGACGGUAAUCAACCAGAAAGUCACGGCUAACUACGUGCCAGCAACCGCGGUAAUACGUAGGUGGCAAGCGUUGUCCGGAUUUAUUGGGCGUAAAAGCGAGCGCAGGCGGAAGAAUAAGUCUGAUGUGAAAGCCCUCGGCUUAACCGAGGAAUUGCAUCGGAAACUGUUUUCUUGAGUGCAGAAGAGGAGAGUAGAACUCCAUGUGUAGCGGUGGAAUGCGUAGAUAUAUGGAAGAAUACCAGUGGCGAAGGCGGCUCUCUGGUCUGCAAACUGACGCUGAGGCUCGAAAAGCAUGGGUAGCGAACAGGAUUAGAUACCCUGGUAGUCCAUGCCGUAAAACGAUGAGUGCUAAGUGUUGGGAGGCUUCCGCCUCUCAGUGCUGCAGCUAACGCAUUAAGCACUCCGCCUGGGGGAGUACGACCGC